Molecule: long non-coding RNA, 888 nt
Organism: Octodon degus (degu)
Lineage: Eukaryota; Metazoa; Chordata; Mammalia; Rodentia; Octodontidae
Exons: 3
Source: RefSeq, a predicted model, not a curated record
GACAGUAGCCGCACCACGGCCUGGGUGCCCGCAGUGCCUAUUCCCGUAGGCUCUUCCCUUACUCCCAAACAGCAAUCAAAAAGAAACCCCACGCUCACCCAAAAACCUGCAACCAGCCCCCUUGGGACCAGGGCUGCCAGCCUGCCUCCCCCUCCUCCUUCUGAGAUUUGGGCAAGGGGGGCACCCUGCUCAGGGCAGAGCCCAGCCUGGGUUGUCGGCCAGCUCUGCGGAUGAACCAGGCCCUGCCGAGCAUUUAGACCCUAACCCACUAUUCUUCCUCUCGGAAGGACCUAGAAUGGAAGAGAAAACCAAGAAGGCUUUCGGAAAUUCAUGAGCUAAAAAUGUCAGGAAUUUCCUGGGAAACGCAGCUCCUUACGGGAUUCAUUAAAGCAGAAAAGAGUUCAAAAGUAAAGAAGAGGGUCAGAAAUCAUUCGUGUUUUUGUUCCUAGACCUGAUGCAUCCUCGAGGGCCUAUUUUACAACUUCCAGAUAAGAGAACCCGACAUUUUAUGUACCCAAAAGGUCCAAACAGAACGGAUUCAAGUGGUACAACUCUCUUCCAGCUGAUAACUUAAAAUGAUUUUACUACUACUGUACCCAUUGGAAUGAAAUUAGCAACUCACUCUGUGAACACUCCAAUUUCCAAAGCCACAAUUCGUAAAUGCCAUUUGGGAGACGAAAGAGGGGGUCUUGAAAUAAUUCCAAAAUUUCCUCUCCCUUCUGACAGCCUACCAAAAGAUAUCAACCAAAUCCAGCCAAAUCAAGCAAGCCCAUUUGUAAAGCUCUGGGACCUCCCUUCCAAGGACAUGGGACACAAGCAUAGACACCACUGCGAAAAGCUGUAUAAAGGCGCCUGGCUCACAGAAACAUUAAGGGGCUCAGAUCAGAA